AGGACGAACGCUGGCGGCGUGCUUAACACAUGCAAGUCGAGGGCACUUUGGGGGCAACUCUGGAGUGACCGGCGAACGGGUGCGUAACACGUGAGCGACCUUGCCUCGUGGUGGGGGGAUAGCCGGCCCAACGGCCGGGUAAUACCGCAUAGGGUAGUUCUUUCGCAUGGGAGAACUAGCAAAGCCCUGGAGCAAUCCAGUGGCGCCACAGGGGGGGCUCGCGGCCUAUCAGCUAGUUGGGGGGGUAAUGGCCCACCAAGGCGACGACGGGUAGC
RNAcentral lists this ribosomal RNA (275 nucleotides) under uncultured bacterium. RNAcentral's name for it is "partial small subunit ribosomal RNA". It matches the Rfam family "Bacterial small subunit ribosomal RNA", at positions 26 to 287 of the family's 1533-position model. The record is from RNAcentral.